GACGAACGCUGGCGGCGUGCUUAACACAUGCAAGUCGAACGGAAAGGCCCUGCUUUUUUGGGGUGCUCAAGUGGCGAACGGGGGAGUAACACGUGAGUAGCCUGCCCUUUACUUUGGGAUAACUUCAGGAGACUGGGGCUAAUACCGGAUAGGAGCUCCUGCUGCAUGGUUGGGGUGGGAAAGUUGCGGAGGUUGGGGAUGGACUCGCGGCUCAUCAGCUUGUUGGUGGGGUUGUGGAUUACCAAGGCUCUGCCGGGUAGCCGGCCUGAGAGGGGGACCGGGCACAUGGGGACUGAGAUAGGGGCCAGAAUACUCCGGGAGGCAGAGGUGGGAGAUAUUCCACAAUGGGCGGAAGGCGGAUGGAGGAACGCCGCGUGAGGAAAGACGGCCUUCAGGAUGUAAACCGCUUUCGCCUGUGACGAAGAGUAAGUGACGGUAAUUGGUAAAGAAGCACCGGCUAACUACGUG
This 468-nucleotide ribosomal RNA is filed under the name uncultured bacterium. RNAcentral describes it as "partial 16S ribosomal RNA". It matches the Rfam family "Bacterial small subunit ribosomal RNA", at positions 28 to 507 of the family's 1533-position model. The record is from RNAcentral.